UGUUGAUCCUUAGGGAAAUUUUGCGCUAGAAUGUAUUGAUUAGAAUAUCAAUCCAACUUUAUUAUGUAUAUUCAACAUCUCAUUUGAUCACUUAGCAACUAAAUUGAAUUAGCUUUGCUGGCUUUCAGUAAUUUCAGCAUGGAUUUGUUAGUUUUCUGCUGGUCUAGCAUCAAUGACAGUCAGUUUUGGAAGGUCUGCAUAAGUUUUUAACCAUUAGUUUAGCAACCACGUGGAUGACAUGCUCUGCAGGGAUGUUCUGCUAUCAUAAAA
RNAcentral lists this unclassified non-coding RNA (270 nucleotides) under Hevea brasiliensis (rubber tree). The record is from RNAcentral. Lineage: Eukaryota; Viridiplantae; Streptophyta; Magnoliopsida; Malpighiales; Euphorbiaceae.